This 847-nucleotide small RNA is filed under the name Pongo abelii (Sumatran orangutan). RNAcentral describes it as "processed transcript". The record is from RNAcentral. Lineage: Eukaryota; Metazoa; Chordata; Mammalia; Primates; Hominidae.
GUCUUCAGCCCUUUUCAAAAGCUUGUCCUAUAAUACUUUGUGCUGGGCAAGAGGGAUCUAAGGGAAGAAGGAGAAAGGGCCAACCCCUGAAGAAGCAAUACAGAAACUGAAGGAGACAGAGAAGAUACUGAUCAAGAAACAGGAAUUUUUGGAGCAGAAGAUUCAACAGGAGCUACAAACAGCCAAGAAGUAUGGGACCAAGAAUAAGAGAGCUGCCCUACAGGCUUUGCGGAGGAAGAAAAGAUUCGAACAGCAGCUGGCACAAACUGAUGGGACAUUAUCCACCCUGGAGUUUCAGCGUGAGGCCAUUGAGAAUGCCACUACCAAUGCAGAAGUCCUUCGUACCAUGGAGCUUGCUGCCCAAAGCAUGAAGAAGGCCUACCAGGACAUGUGGGGACAUUGACAAGGUAGAUGAACUGAUGACUGACAUCACGGAACAACAGGAGUUGGCCCAGCAGAUCUCAGAUGCCAUUUCUCGGCCUAUGGGCUUUGGAGAUGAUGUGGAUGAGGAUGAACUGCUGGAGGAGCUAGAGGAGCUGGAGCAGGAGGAAUUGGCCCAGGAGUUGUUAAAUGUGGGCGACAAGGAGGAAGAACCCCCAGUCAAAUUGCCUAGUGUACCUUCUGCUCAUCUGCCGGCAGGGCCAGCUCCCAAAGCGGAUGAAGAUGAAGAAGCACUAAAGCAGUUGGCUGAGUGGGUAUCCUGAUAAAUCUGGGCUUGUCUUCCUAAUGCUACCUUUGUUGGUCCUUUUUUCCUGAAGUGCCAAGUGCUGAGCUAAAGGAGGAUAACUUUUUGGGGAAGUCAUGCUGAGGGUGGUAGUGUGACCCUGCCUGAAAAAAGGGUCUCUCA